Molecule: long non-coding RNA, 490 nt
Organism: Otolemur garnettii (small-eared galago)
Lineage: Eukaryota; Metazoa; Chordata; Mammalia; Primates; Galagidae
Exons: 2
Source: RefSeq, a predicted model, not a curated record
AUGAACGCAAUGACUGUCUCCGUCACAUUUUUCUGAUAUUUAUUCUGUAAAUCAGCUCCAUGAGCCCCUGCCACUCUUCUGAAUAAGCUUCCAGGCAUUACCUGCAUGCUGUGUUCCUGUGGAAGGAUGGCAGUAAUCUCUGCUAAGAUAAACGGGAGCUUCUGUGGAUAAAGCGUAAAGGCAGUGAAGUGUGAGUGGCUGGAAGAUUUAAUGCUUCUACAGUGCUUAGAUACAACUUGAGCUUGGAAUUCCAGAGGUAGAACCCUGCAGAUUGGAGGCAUAUUAAGGAAAAUGUACUGUGGAAAUGAGAUAAAGCCCCUAUCCUUGUCAUUGAUUGUCAUUCUUGUAUGCAUACAGGUGUCCAAUAAAGGGUUGGAGAAUAAAAUGUGCCAGUUUAAAGUUUUCCAAUCUUUCUUAAAGCCCUCAAUGAAUUGCAGAGAGCGUAUUUAGAACAGACUGUACUAAAUCCAUUCCCGUCAAUGAAAAUCUU